Zea mays is the source of this 1248-nucleotide long non-coding RNA. RefSeq lists it as uncharacterized. The transcript has 4 exons. Lineage: Eukaryota; Viridiplantae; Streptophyta; Magnoliopsida; Poales; Poaceae. The record is from RefSeq and is a predicted model, not a curated record.
UCUCACGGCUCGUCCAAGUGUCCUGCGCGCGGAUCUGAGCAGGCGGUCGUUGUUGGGCAACUGCUAGCACAUAUUUGCUAGAUAUUUGCUUGCUUUGCAGGGAGCGGGGUCAUAGUCUGAAGAACUGUCCUGACAAAAGCGAGGGAAAUUUGAAGAAAUUUUGCUAGAACUGUGGUGAAUCUGGACACUGUCUUUCCAAGUGCCCCAAGCCCAUUGAGAAUGGGUUACAAAUUUUGCAACCUGCUUUAUCUGCAAUCAGCAAGGACAUUUGAGCAAGAACUGUCCUGAAAACAAACAUGGCAUCUAUCCAAAGGUAUCAUGAUACUCAUGCCUUCUCAAUUCUCAUGAUACUGCGAAUGGGCAUGGCUUCGAUUAUGGGAAACAAAUAUGACAUGUGCUCAUGCCUAACAUGAAGUGUUUUUGGUUAGUUAUCAUUCUUUUUAGUUGCCUAAAAUGGAGAAAAAAGAAGAUUGUAUUGUCUCUGCCACUCGUCACUAGGAAGUCAGCCCCCCCUUUAACUCAUUUCUGGAUCCGCCACUGCCCGGUUCCCUUGUUAGCUGUGUUGUACAAGUGUUUCAAACUGUACACAAUGCUUAUAAAUUUUUUUGCUCCUUUCAUUACUCGACUACUUUGUUACCAGUAAUCUAGAUGUUUCAACUAUAUACCUAAUCAUUGACCAUUUCUAAAUGAAUGCACUUGCUAGAAAAUUACUUGUUCAUCGUGUUUUUAUUCUCAUCCUGCCUGUUGGAAUCUUGCAGCUGAUCACUCUUAAAAAACUAACGGGUCCUGGUGUGAGUGGCAGAACUAUUGGAUAGGAUCGCCCUGAGGGCACUCAACAUCACCACUGUUGUACAAAAGUAGGCCAAUUGACAUAUACACUUUGUUCAUUUAUGUUGGUCGAUUCUACCCAGUUUAAAGAGAGACUAAAAUGUGGGCGUUGUUGCUUGUGUCCAUCCAUGCCGCAAGCUGUAAUAUUUUCUUCUAAUAAGCUUUUAUACAUUACCUCUCUUGUUGACUGGUUGACCAUUUGUGCAGAGGCAACCCUUUCCAGUAGGGUCACGCCCGUCUGGUAAGAGGGUCGUUGUUAAGUUGCCUGAUUAAUCCCUUGUCUUUCACUGUGUCUGCAUGUUGCAGUAGAUGCCAGCAGAUCAUGAAGCGCCCAAAUGGUGCUGAGCUACAGUACUAUCAGAAGCUGAAUAGAUUGCUGCUGGAAUUAGAGCAAAGGAGUGGAGGAGUUUCUGAAGAGAG